RNAcentral lists this transfer RNA (75 nucleotides) under Pseudohongiella spirulinae. RNAcentral's name for it is "tRNA-Lys". It matches the Rfam family "tRNA". From Rfam's summary of the family: Transfer RNA (tRNA) molecules are approximately 80 nucleotides in length. Lineage: Bacteria; Pseudomonadati; Pseudomonadota; Gammaproteobacteria; Pseudomonadales; Pseudohongiellaceae. RNAcentral also lists the same sequence under 6 other names. The record is from RNAcentral.
GGGGCGUUAGCUCAGCGGUAGAGCAGUUGGCUUUUAACCAAUUGGUCGAUGGUUCGAAUCCAUCACGCCCCACCA